This 254-nucleotide ribosomal RNA is filed under the name uncultured bacterium. RNAcentral describes it as "partial 16S ribosomal RNA". It matches the Rfam family "Bacterial small subunit ribosomal RNA", at positions 524 to 776 of the family's 1533-position model. The record is from RNAcentral.
UACGGAGGGGGCUAGCGUUGCUCGGAAUCACUGGGCGUAAAGCGCACGUAGGCGGAUCUUUAAGUCAGGGGUGAAAUCCCAAGGCUCAACCUUGGAACUGCCUUUGAUACUGGGGAUCUCGAGUCCGGAAGAGGUUGGUGGAACUGCGAGUGUAGAGGUGAAAUUCGUAGAUAUUCGCAAGAACACCAGUGGCGAAGGCGGCCAACUGGUCCGGUACUGACGCUGAGGUGCGAAAGCGUGGGGGAGCAAACAGG